RNAcentral lists this ribosomal RNA (411 nucleotides) under bacterium enrichment culture clone ALO1_GLFRUDD03GOXFD. RNAcentral describes it as "bacterial SSU rRNA". It matches the Rfam family "Bacterial small subunit ribosomal RNA", at positions 9 to 423 of the family's 1533-position model. The record is from RNAcentral.
GAGUUUGAUCUUGGCUCAGAUUGAACGCUGGCGGCAUGCCUUACACAUGCAAGUCGAACGGCAGCACGGGAGCUUGCUCCUGGUGGCGAGUGGCGAACGGGUGAGUAAUGCAUCGGAACGUAUCCUGGAGUGGGGGAUAACGUAGCGAAAGUUACGCUAAUACCGCAUAUUCUGUGAGCAGGAAAGCGGGGGACCUUCGGGCCUCGCGCUCUUGGAGCGGCCGAUGUCGGAUUAGCUAGUUGGUGAGGUAAAGGCUCACCAAGGCGACGAUCCGUAGCAGGUCUGAGAGGAUGAUCUGCCACACUGGAACUGAGACACGGUCCAGACUCCUACGGGAGGCAGCAGUGGGAAUUUUGGACAAUGGGGGCAACCCUGAUCCAGCCAUGCCGCGUGAGUGAAGAAGGCCUCGGU